Molecule: ribosomal RNA, 174 nt
Filed under: uncultured eukaryote
Lineage: Eukaryota
Description: partial large subunit ribosomal RNA
Rfam family: Eukaryotic large subunit ribosomal RNA
Source: RNAcentral
AUAUCAGUAAGCGGAGGAAAAGAAACUAACAAGGAUUCCCGUAGUAAGGGCGACUGAACGGGGAAGAGUCCAGCGCUGAAUCCGAGCCUCCCGCAGGGGCAAGGAGCUGUAGCGUAUAGAGUGCGGUGUCGUCGCGGUCUCUGCCGCUCCAAGUCUCCCUUGAGUGGGGCCGAG